GGCUGGUCUGCAGGUAGUGAGUUAUCUUAAUUGAUUAUUCACAGUCAGUUACAGAUUGAAUUUUUUGUUCUUUCCCCCCUCCUUCUAUUGCACUUGACUAGUGUCAA
RNAcentral lists this Y RNA (107 nucleotides) under Carlito syrichta (Philippine tarsier). RNAcentral's name for it is "Y RNA (ENSTSYG00000031931.1)". It matches the Rfam family "Y RNA". From Rfam's summary of the family: Y RNAs are components of the Ro ribonucleoprotein particle (Ro RNP), in association with Ro60 and La proteins. The Y RNAs and Ro60 and La proteins are well conserved, but the function of the Ro RNP is not known. In humans the RNA component can be one of four small RNAs -- hY1, hY3, hY4 and hY5. The record is from Rfam by way of RNAcentral. Lineage: Eukaryota; Metazoa; Chordata; Mammalia; Primates; Tarsiidae.